This is a long non-coding RNA of Actinia tenebrosa (Australian red waratah sea anemone), 1025 nucleotides long. The record is from RefSeq and is a predicted model, not a curated record. NCBI's taxonomy places the organism in Eukaryota, Metazoa, Cnidaria, Anthozoa, Actiniaria, Actiniidae.
GGCAGCCCGGCAGCUUUUUUUAGGACCACAGGAAGCCCAAAAUUCUAUUGUAACUAUGCAUUUUUUAGCAGCACCCAUCAAGACUGUUUGUGAUUUAUUUUAUUAYGUAYAAACAUAUUUGGAUUGCAUGUUAAAAAUAGAGCGUUUGGGUUGUGUGGAUGAUGCAUCUCUGUAAAUUGUCAAAAGAAGUAAUUUGAUAUAUUCAUAAAGUAGUGUUAUAUCUGAUAUUUAUAAACCCCUACUUUAGCACCAAACAAUAUAAGACAGUCAAUUUUUAAAUAUUUAAUUUUUAUUUUCAAAAUGCAGGCAUAAACAGUUUGACCUGAGAACCUAACAUAUGAAAGUUUAUCCCAAAAGAGAAAUGAAAACAAUGAAAUAUAAACAUAUGAAUUCACCUCAUGCUCGAAAAGUCAAGAAAGACAAAUCUGCUGACUCAUCAAAACAACUGGCUCAAAUAAAUGCACAGGAAGCCCAAUAUUAGUUACAAUAGAAGUUUGGGCUCCUGCCGUGCUAACAAGAUAGCUGUAGUGCUGCCAUUGUCAGCUAAGAUUCUUUCAAAGGAUUUCUGGCAAUAAAUACUGUGAAAAAGAUUGAUAUUUCAGGGAAUUUAUGAGAAAUAAAGGUAGGCCAUAGGUAGGGCCAUGGCCUGAGCCAGGCCUAGGUCCAGGUUUUCGGCACACUCGUUAGCAAACAUGAAGCUGUAAGCGCUAUACAGGGACCACCAAGCCCAAUUUUUACGGUCUAUUCAGAAAUUUCCAGUAUGGCGUGGGUAUACUUACUUUAUACUUUUAUUCAAGAAGUCAAUACAAAAUACAAUUACUGUACACUUAACCUGCAAAUAGCUAUGGCUAGUUGAGGCAGGUUAAUGUGGUUAUAAGAAUACAAUGUGGUUAUUAAUAAUUUGUAAUAUAUAAAUUAAUGAAUAAUUUGUAAUAUAUAAGUGUAUGCGCGUAUAUGUCUUUGGAAAAAAGGAAGGUUAUAGGAAUACAAUAUUUACAACUACUGAAUAAAAGAUUUAUAAUGAA